RNAcentral lists this long non-coding RNA (444 nucleotides) under Rattus norvegicus (Norway rat). RNAcentral describes it as "long non-coding RNA NONRATT023871". Lineage: Eukaryota; Metazoa; Chordata; Mammalia; Rodentia; Muridae. The record is from RNAcentral.
UUAUUCAUAUUUUGUGCAUGAGUGCUUGCACGUGUGCAGUUGUACCAGAGACACGCCUGGUGGUCACUGAGAGCAGAAGAAAACAUCAGAACGCCUGGAUCUGGAGCCACUGACCAUUGAACCUUGAACAUAACUUCAAAAGAAGAUUUGAUUUUUACUUCUGGACUGCAUAUAGAAGGCCAUCAGAAUGUCGGGAGCCUCUGUGAAGGUAGCCGUUCGAGUGAGGCCCUUCAAUUCCCGAGAGACCAGCAAGGAGUCCAAGUGCAUCAUUCAGAUGCAGGGCAACUCGACCAGUAUUAUCAACCCAAAGAACCCAAAGGAAGCACCAAAGUCCUUCAGCUUUGACUACUCUUACUGGUCUCACACCUCGCCUGAAGACCCCUGCUUUGCAUCUCAGAGCCGCGUGUACAAUGACAUUGGGAAGGAGAUGCUCUUGCAUGCCUU